RNAcentral lists this ribosomal RNA (506 nucleotides) under uncultured Glomeraceae. RNAcentral describes it as "SSU rRNA". It matches the Rfam family "Eukaryotic small subunit ribosomal RNA", at positions 569 to 1078 of the family's 1831-position model. Lineage: Eukaryota; Fungi; Glomeromycota; Glomeromycetes; Glomerales; Glomeraceae. The record is from RNAcentral.
AGCAGCCGCGGUAAUUCCAGCUCCAAUAGCGUAUAUUAAAGUUGUUGCAGUUAAAAAGCUCGUAGUUGAAUUUCGGGGUCAGUAGGUUGGUCAUGCCACUGGUAUGUACUGGUCUCCCUGAUUCCUCCUUCCUGAUGAGCCGUAAUGCCAUUAAUUUGGUGUUGCGAGGAAUCUGGACUGUUACUUUGAAAAAUUAGAGUGUUUAAAGCAAGCUAACGCUUGAAUACAUUAGCAUGGAAUAAUGAAAUAGGACGUUCGAUCCUAUUUUGUUGGUUUCUAGGAUUGACGUAAUGAUUAAUAGGGAUAGUUGGGGGCAUUAGUAUUCAAUUGUCAGAGGUGAAAUUCUUGGAUUUAUUGAAGACUAACUACUGCGAAAGCAUUUGCCAAGGAUGUUUUCAUUAAUCAAGAACGAAAGUUAGGGGAUCGAAGACGAUCAGAUACCGUCGUAGUCUUAACCAUAAACUAUGCCGACUAGGGAUCGGAUGAUGUUAAUUUUUAAUGACUCA